GAGAACGCACUUUGAAUGGAUAA
Molecule: non-coding RNA, 23 nt
Filed under: Arabidopsis thaliana (thale cress)
Lineage: Eukaryota; Viridiplantae; Streptophyta; Magnoliopsida; Brassicales; Brassicaceae
Source: RNAcentral